UGAGGAAUAUUGGUCAAUGGACGCAAGUCUGAACCAGCCAAGUAGCGUGCAGGAUGACGGCCCUAUGGGUUGUAAACUGCUUUUAUAUGGGGAUAAAGUGGGGAACGUGUUCCCUUUUGCAGGUACCAUAUGAAUAAGGACCGGCUAAUUCCGUGCCAGCAGCCGCGGUAAUACGGAAGGUUCGGGCGUUAUCCGGAUUUAUUGGGUUUAAAGGGAGCGUAGGCCGUUUGGUAAGCGUGUUGUGAAAUGGAGGAGCUCAACUUCUAGAUUGCAGCGGGAACUGUAAGACUGGAGUGCGCACAACGUAGGCGGAAUUCAUGGUGUAGCGGUGAAAUGCUUAGAUAUCAUGAAGAACUCCGAUUGCGAAGGCAGCUUACGGGAGCGCAACUGACGCUGAAGCUCGAAGGUGCGGGUAUCGAACAGG
RNAcentral lists this ribosomal RNA (424 nucleotides) under Verrucomicrobiota bacterium. RNAcentral describes it as "Verrucomicrobia bacterium partial 16S ribosomal RNA". It matches the Rfam family "Bacterial small subunit ribosomal RNA", at positions 355 to 776 of the family's 1533-position model. Lineage: Bacteria; Pseudomonadati; Verrucomicrobiota. The record is from RNAcentral.